AGCAAGGUAUCUUUGAUGCUUAUCUGUGUUAUGUGAUUUGCAUUACAUGUAUCAAACUUUUUAUUGCUGAAUACUAUUCCUUCCUUUCUCAGGGAGAGUGCUACUGGUCUUGGAUUUGAGGACCUGGGAAUCCAUGCCUCUGAACUCUGGUGACCCUUCUAACAGCUCUCAACUCCACCUGGUGGCAGAGAGGGAGAAGAAGAAGAUGGGACAAAAGGGCUAUUUUUAAUCUGGUGGCUUGGCGUUGGAAGAUUGGAUCCUCGCAGAGAAUGCUGAUUGCAUUUCCACCAAGCUCUGGAUCACAUGAUUCUCUGGGGGAGGUGGGUAGGACCUCUAGGGAAGCUUCUCUAUGGAGGUGAAAUUCUAGCUGAGACCUGCAUGAUGAGAAGAAAAGGAACCUGGAAGUUGAAUUUAAGGCAGAAAGAAGAACAAGGAUAAGAUCCAUGAGCUGGGAACCCUCUUGCUAUAUUUGAGUAGCAGAAAGAAGGUGGGUUGAGCUGGACAUAGAGAGCAGGGGAGUGGUAGAACACUCCAUCAGACACAUAAACAAGGCAGAUGUGCAGGCCAUUGCAAGCACAAGAACUUUUUUGUUUUUGAGACAGGAUCUCCUUCUGUCACCCAGGCUGGAGUGCAGUGGCACAAUCUCAGCUCAUUGCAGCCUCGACCUCCUGAGCUCAGGUGAUCCUCCCAUCUCAGCCUCUUAAGUAGCUGGGACUACAGGUGCAUGUCACCAUGCCUGGCU
Molecule: long non-coding RNA, 742 nt
Filed under: Macaca fascicularis (crab-eating macaque)
Lineage: Eukaryota; Metazoa; Chordata; Mammalia; Primates; Cercopithecidae
Description: lncRNA (ENSMFAG00000061207.1)
Source: RNAcentral